AGAGUGAACGCUGGCGGUAGGCCUAACACAUGCAAGUCGAACGGCAGCACAGGAGAGCUUGCUCUCUGGGUGGCGAGUGGCGGACGGGUGAGGAAUACAUCGGAAUCUACCUUUUCGUGGGGGAUAACGUAGGGAAACUUACGCUAAUACCGCAUAAGACCUUCGGGUGAAAGCCGGGGACCUUCGGGCCUGGCGCGGAUAGAUGAGCCGAUGUCGGAUUAGCUUGUUGGCGGGGUAAAAGCCCACCAAGGCGACGAUCCGUAGCUGGUCUGAGAGGAUGAUCAGCCACACUGGAACUGAGACACGGUCCAGACCUCGUACGGGAGCAGCAGUGGGAAUAUUGGACAAUGGGC
RNAcentral lists this ribosomal RNA (353 nucleotides) under uncultured soil bacterium. RNAcentral describes it as "bacterial SSU rRNA". It matches the Rfam family "Bacterial small subunit ribosomal RNA", at positions 26 to 376 of the family's 1533-position model. The record is from RNAcentral.